Long non-coding RNA from Vitis vinifera (wine grape), 536 nucleotides. RefSeq lists it as uncharacterized. The record is from RefSeq and is a predicted model, not a curated record. NCBI's taxonomy places the organism in Eukaryota, Viridiplantae, Streptophyta, Magnoliopsida, Vitales, Vitaceae. The transcript is spliced from 3 exons.
UUCACUCCCGUCAACUGUGAAAGAGUCUGUAUGUCCAUUAAUGUGACUCUUCACUCUUGCAUCUCCUUCACUCUUCCCGUUGAACAAGAGGAGAUUCACAGAAACCUUUCAUCUCUCUUUUUGUUGGAAGUUGCAAGACUCUGGAUUAUGAGAUUUAUUCUUUGAGUGUUGGCUGAGAGUGGGAUCAAAACAUUCCUCAAGCACUUUGGAAGCUCUUUUGAACACGAACUUCAGUAACAUUAAUGGCUCCUUCGUCUGGAGUAUCGAUUAUUUUUUAUGGAUGAAAAUUGUCAAUGGCAUGAGUAAAGUCGGAAAAAAGCAGGGGUACUUGAAAGAAAGGUAUGCAAUUGACUAUAUUUUAUACAUUUGAUUACAAUUCAAUCAUAAUUUAAUUAUCUUAUAAUUAUUUUAAGACAAAGUAAAGAAGAUGAGCAAUCCUUAAAACUUAGAAUUGAAUUGAUGUUGAGCUUCUAAUGAAUGUUAUUAUUAUGGGCUUGCACCUAUUAUACAUUUUUAGGCCAAAGAAAUAUAUUAAA